This 534-nucleotide ribosomal RNA is filed under the name uncultured bacterium. RNAcentral describes it as "partial 16S ribosomal RNA". It matches the Rfam family "Bacterial small subunit ribosomal RNA", at positions 355 to 881 of the family's 1533-position model. The record is from RNAcentral.
UGGGGAAUUUUGGACAAUGGGGGAAACCCUGAUCCAGCCAUCCCGCGUGUGCGAUGAAGGCCUUCGGGUUGUAAAGCACUUUUGGCAGGAAAGAAACGUCGCGGGUUAAUACCCCGCGAAACUGACGGUACCUGCAGAAUAAGCACCGGCUAACUACGUGCCAGCAGCCGCGGUAAUACGUAGGGUGCAAGCGUUAAUCGGAAUUACUGGGCGUAAAGCGUGCGCAGGCGGUUCGGAAAGAAAGAUGUGAAAUCCCAGAGCUUAACUUUGGAACUGCAUUUUUAAACUACCGGGCUAGAGUGUGUCAGAGGGAGGUGGAAUUCCGCGUGUAGCAGUGAAAUGCGUAGAUAUGCGGAGGAACACCGAUGGCGAAGGCAGCCUCCUGGGAUAACACUGACGCUCAUGCACGAAAGCGUGGGGAGCAAACAGGAUUAGAUACCCUGGUAGUCCACGCCCUAAACGAUGUCAACUAGCUGUUGGGGCCUUCGGGCCUUGGUAGCGCAGCUAACGCGUGAAGUUGACCGCCUGGGGAGU